CCUACGGGAGACAGCAGUGAGGAAUAUUGGUCAAUGGGCGCGAGUCUGAACCAGCGAAGUAGCGUGAAGGAUGACUGCCCUACGGGUUGUAAACUUCUUUUAUAAAGGAAUAAAGUGAGGCACGUGUGCCUUUUGGUCUGUACUUUAUGAUUAAGGAUCGGCUAACUCCGUGACAGCAGCCGCGGUAAUACGGAGGAUCCGAGCGUUAUCCGGAUUUAAUGGGUUGAAAGGGAGCGUAGAUGGGUUGUUAAGUCAGUUGUGAAAGUUUGCGGCUCAACCGUAAAAUUGCAAUUGAUACUGGCAGUCUUGAGUACAGUUGAGGUAGGCGGAAUUCGUGGUGUAGCGGUGAAAUGCUUAGAUAUCACGAAGAACUCCGAUUGCGAAGGCAGCUUACUAAGCUGCCACUGACAUUGAUGCUCGAAAGUGUGGGUAUCAAACAGGAUUAGAUACCCGGGUAGUC
Molecule: ribosomal RNA, 460 nt
Filed under: uncultured bacterium
Lineage: Bacteria
Description: partial 16S ribosomal RNA
Rfam family: Bacterial small subunit ribosomal RNA
Source: RNAcentral